CCUACGGGUGGCAGCAGUGGGGAAUAUUGCACAAUGGGGGAAACCCUGAUGCAGCGACGCCGCGUGAGCGAUGAAGUAUUUCUGUGUGUAAAGCUCUAUCAGCAGGGAAGAAAAUGACGGUACCUGACUAAGAAGCCCCGGCUAACUACGUGCCGGCAGCCGCGGUAAUACGUAGGGGGCCGGCGUUAUCCGGAUUUACUGGGUGUAAAGGGGGCGUAGAAGGGGGUGAAAGGCAGAUGGGAAAGCCUUGGGCUCAAACCCGGGACUGCAUUUGGCACUGUGCUGAUAGAGUGCAGGAGAGGUAGGCGGAAUUACUAGUGUAGCGGUGAAAUGCGUAGAUAUUAGGAGGAACACCAGUGGCGAAGGCGGCUUGCUGGACGAUGACUGACGUUGAGGCUCGAAAGCGUGGGGAGCAAACAGGAUUAGAUACCCGGGUAGUC
RNAcentral lists this ribosomal RNA (440 nucleotides) under uncultured bacterium. Its description in RNAcentral is "partial 16S ribosomal RNA". It matches the Rfam family "Bacterial small subunit ribosomal RNA", at positions 338 to 795 of the family's 1533-position model. The record is from RNAcentral.